This is an RNA transcript of Mandrillus leucophaeus (drill), 1103 nucleotides long. It is a transcript of the gene named transmembrane protein 222, with no coding region annotated. The transcript has 7 exons. Lineage: Eukaryota; Metazoa; Chordata; Mammalia; Primates; Cercopithecidae. The record is from RefSeq and is a predicted model, not a curated record.
GCCGGGGCCAGUCGCAGCGGGGCGCGCGCAGCAUGGCGGAAGCGGAAGGGGGUUCUCCGCUCUUGUUGCCGCCGCCGCCACCCCCGCCCAGGAUGGCGGAAGUGGAGGCGCCGACGGCGGCCGAGACGGACAUGAAGCAAUAUCACGGCUCCGGCGGCGUCGCCAUGGACGUGGAACGGAGCCGCUUCCCCUACUGCGUGGUGUGGACGCCCAUCCCGGUGCUCACGUGGUUUUUCCCCAUCAUUGGCCACAUGGGCAUCUGCACAUCCACAGGAGUCAUUCGGGACUUCGCAGGCCCCUACUUUGUCUCGGAGGACAAUAUGGCCUUUGGAAAGCCUGCCAAGUACUGGAAGUUGGACCCUGCUCAGGUCUAUGCUAGCGGGCCCAACGCGUGGGACACGGCUGUGCAUGAUGCCUCUGAGGAGUACAAGCACCGCAUGCACAAUCUCUGCUGUGACAACUGCCACUCACACGUGGCAUUGGCCCUGAAUCUGAUGCGCUACAACAACAGCACCAACUGGAAUAUGGUGACGCUCUGCUUCUUCUGCCUGCUCUAUGGGAAGUACGUCAGGUCCCUUCCCAGGCAGAGAGGUUGAGUGAGUCGCCCAUGGUCCCCACAGCAUGGCCACAGCAGAGCCCAGACUCGUGAGCCAGCAUAGUGUUGGGGCCUUCGUGAAGACCUGGCUGCCGUUCAUCCUUCUCCUGGGCAUCAUCCUCACCGUCAGCUUGGUCUUUAACCUCCGGUGAUGGCUGCUCUGUGGCCCCGCACCCACCAGGGUCCCAAGGAAACAGCCGCCAUCCCUUUUGGUCCCAGAUUUUUUUCUCCUCACCCCAAAAGGCACGGUUGGGCCUGCUGUUGUGGACCGGGGAUCGGGGCUGGCAGGAUGGAAGGGCUGAGGACCAGCAUGAGGCGGGAGUUUGUUGUCUCCCUGCCUCUCAGAAGCACCCUGUUCCCUCCUCCCCAGGCCUGUGACUCCGGCCCUGGAAGCCCCUUUGUUCUUCUGUUGAAAGGCCUUGUCUUCCCUCUGUAAAGCUGCUCCCGUCACUGCCUGCUGGGGUCCUGCCUCAGCCCAGCCCAGAACGGGGAGAGGAGGACAUUUGGG